UACGGAGGGUGCAAGCGUUAUCCGGAUUUACUGGGUUUAAAGGGUGCGUAGGUGGGUAGGAAAGUCAGUGGUGAAAUCUUCGGGCUUAACCCGGAAACUGCCAUUGAUACUAUUUAUCUUGAAUACUUGGAGGUAAGCGGAAUAUGUCAUGUAGCGGUGAAAUGCUUAGAUAUGACAUAGAACACCAAUUGCGAAGGCAGCUUACUACACAGUUAUUGACACUGAGGCACGAAAGCGUGGGGAUCAAACAGG
Molecule: ribosomal RNA, 252 nt
Filed under: uncultured bacterium
Lineage: Bacteria
Description: partial 16S ribosomal RNA
Rfam family: Bacterial small subunit ribosomal RNA
Source: RNAcentral